Mauremys reevesii (Reeves's turtle) is the source of this 676-nucleotide long non-coding RNA. RefSeq lists it as uncharacterized. NCBI's taxonomy places the organism in Eukaryota, Metazoa, Chordata, Testudines, Geoemydidae. The transcript is spliced from 2 exons. The record is from RefSeq and is a predicted model, not a curated record.
CCGGGUCACCCCCAGCGCGGGGAGGGCGAUUCCCGGCGGCCCGCCUGAGCCUCACCCCCGGCGCAGGGACACAGCAGCCCGGCCCGGGGCAUCCAGCCCCGGACCCGGGGGAGUAGCCGGGGCUCAGCUCCUCCGACACAGUCCCCGGCUCACCCUGCCGGCCCGCACGGCGCCUUACAAAGGCGGCCAGUGUCUUCAUCCGCGCUUCCCAGAGGGGGAAACUGAGGCACGGAGACUUGCCUGCCGUCACCCAGAGCCAGUAACAGUCCCCCCAGUCUGCCCAGCCCAAGGAGUUUGCGCACAGAUGGCAGCUGAACAAGGGACUUUUCUGGCCCUGCUUUCCCUGGCUGGAGCCACAAGACGAGUGGCUAGUCGUAGCUGGGCCCAAGGUGGGUGGCAGGAUCACCAAGCACAUUGGAAUCGCUGGAGAAGAAAUAAUUCGCUCAUCAAAGAAUGCUGAUGAGGAUUCACAGAGCUACCUUAAGAACAUUUCAGAGGAAGGAAUCCUCCACAUGGGACUAAUCUGUGACAGAAGACCCAGAAAAUAAUUGAUUUAUGACAAGAAUGAGGAGGAACUUGGAUGACUUCAUGACAUGAUGUGUGUCAGGGCUCUAAAGACAGCUGUGCUGACCUGUAUGCAUGCAUAUUUCACCCCAUUACAGCUAAAUCAAUCUAA